CUGACUGUGACCCUAUGUUCUGUAGCCCGCCAGGUUCCUCUGUCCAUGGCGUUCUCCAGGCAAGAAUACUGUAGUGGGUAGCCAUUUCCUUCUCCAGGGAAUAAUAAACCAGUAACAAUGUGAGAACUGGACCAUAAUGAAGGCUGAACAUCAAAGAACUGAUGUUUUUGAAUUGUGGCGCUGGAGAAGACUCUUGAGAGUCCCGUGAACUGCAAGGAGAUCAAACCAGUCAAUCCUGAAGGAAAUCAACCCUGAAUAUUCAUUGGAAGGACUGAUGCUGAAGCUGAAGCUCCACCUGAUGGGAGGAGUCGACUCAUUGGUAAAGACCCUGAUGCUGGGAAAGAUCGAAGGCAAAAGGAGAAGGAGGCUGCAGAGGAUGAGAUGGUAGGAGCUGGCCAAAAGAGGAAAUUGCAGGAGAUUUGGAAGAUGGAGGAGAAGCAGCAGCCAUCCCCCUCCUUCAUUUAUCUCUACUGUACCCCAUCUGCUGCUGCUGCUGCUGCUGCUGCUAAGUCACUUCAGUCGUGUCCCACUCUGUGCGACCCCAUACCCCAUCUAAACCACAUAUGUUUACUGAAAGCAGUCCUUUCUGUGUUCUGGAUUAUGUACAAAGGCUACAGUUUACCGGAGUAUAACUAACUGGAAAUGGAAAAGGCCCACAGGUAGGAACAACUUUUAUCAGGGAAAAAGGGUUCUAGUUAUUAAUAUAUAAGUUUUCCUUGUAUUGCUAUUUCUUAUCAGUGUUUAUUAGAGCAUUUGAAAGGAUAAUGAUGAAGUUCAUCCUCGUGUACAUCAAAAUCAUUUGUGAGCUCUGAAAAAAUAUGUAUGUAAAAAACUGGUCCCUAUCUGGGACUUUCUGAAUUGGAAUCUCCAGGGAGCAGCUUAAGCAUUUGCUUUUUUAAAAGCUGUGCAAUUUACACCCUGGCUUUUAUGAUGUGGACUUUCUUUGUUCAUAAACCACUUUCCCAUACGGCUCUGCCUAUGUUCUUCUUCUGAUUUUGAUGUAAAACAAUAAAG
Bos taurus (domestic cattle) is the source of this 1014-nucleotide long non-coding RNA. NCBI's taxonomy places the organism in Eukaryota, Metazoa, Chordata, Mammalia, Artiodactyla, Bovidae. The record is from Ensembl.